UCAGUCGACUCCUACGGGGAGGCAGCAGUGGGGGGAAUAUUGCACAAUGGGCGCAAGCCUGAUGCAGCCAUGCCGCGUGUAUGAAGAAGGCCUUCGGGUUGUAAAGUACUUUCAGCAGUGAGGAAGGUGGGUAUGUUAAUAGCAUACUCAUUUGACGUUAGCUGCAGAAGAAGCACCGGCUAACUCCGUGCCAGCAGCCGCGGUAAUACGGAGGGUGCGAGCGUUAAUCGGAAUUACUGGGCGUAAAGCGCAUGCAGGUGGUUUGUUAAGUCAGAUGUGAAAGCCCGGGGCUCAACCUCGGAAUUGCAUUUGAAACUGGCAAACUAGAGUACUGUAGAGGGGGGUAGGAAUUUCAGGUGUAGCGGUGAAAUGCGUAGAGAUCUGAAGGAAUACCGGUGGCGAAGGCGGCCCCCUGGACAGAUACUGACACUCAGAUGCGAAAGCGUGGGGAGCAAACAGGAUUAGAUACCCUGGUAG
This 477-nucleotide ribosomal RNA is filed under the name uncultured bacterium. RNAcentral describes it as "bacterial SSU rRNA". It matches the Rfam family "Bacterial small subunit ribosomal RNA", at positions 328 to 793 of the family's 1533-position model. The record is from RNAcentral.